Molecule: ribosomal RNA, 229 nt
Filed under: uncultured bacterium
Lineage: Bacteria
Description: partial 16S ribosomal RNA
Rfam family: Bacterial small subunit ribosomal RNA
Source: RNAcentral
UACGUAGGCGGAAAAUUAAGUCAGUAGUGAAAUCCUGCAGCUUAACUGUAGAACUGUUAUUGAUACUGGUUUUCUUGAAUAUAGUUGAGGUGGGCGGAAUGUGUAAUGUAGCGGUGAAAUGCUUAGAUAUUACACAGAACACCGAUUGCGAAGGCAGCUUACUAAGCUAUGAUUGACGCUGAGGUACGAAAGCGUGGGGAGCGAACAGGAUUAGAUACCCUGGUAGUCC